RNAcentral lists this long non-coding RNA (307 nucleotides) under Physcomitrium patens. RNAcentral describes it as "long non-coding RNA (PPAT_LNC007190)". Lineage: Eukaryota; Viridiplantae; Streptophyta; Bryopsida; Funariales; Funariaceae. The record is from RNAcentral.
UCUUAAAGUAUUGUCUGGAUUUGGAUUUCUUGCCUCUUUCAAUUGAUCUUGGGCUUGUUGUUGAUAAUUUUCUUGUAGGAACUUUAAAGGAAUCACCUUGUAAAGUUACAUACACACGUUUGUAAGAUGGUUUCUCCCACAAUUUCCACAUACUAUCCUAUUUUCUAUCCAACAAUUACCUGAUAGAUGUUUUUUUCUCUCAAAGGUGGUACACCUCAUAUUAAUGUCAUUGUAGGUUCUUAAAUCAUUAGAUAGAAUUUUUUCGAGGUUGAAAUUAGAAAUUGGAACUUACCAUAUUAUGAUUUUU